RNAcentral lists this ribosomal RNA (466 nucleotides) under uncultured eukaryote. RNAcentral describes it as "bacterial SSU rRNA". It matches the Rfam family "Eukaryotic small subunit ribosomal RNA", at positions 720 to 1162 of the family's 1831-position model. The record is from RNAcentral.
UAUGAUGAUGUAAUUAGGUAGUUCUAGUCCAUUUACUUUGAGAAAAUUAGAGUGUUUAAAGCAAGCCUCUUGGGGCACUGAAUACAUUAGCAUGGGAUAAUAGAAUAGGAUCUUUACAAUAUAUUUUAUUGGUUUAAAUUGAAAUAAGAUAAUGAUUAAUAGGGACAGUUGGGGGUAUUCAUAUUGGGUGGUUAGCGGUGAAAUGCUCGGAUCCAUUCAAGAUGAACUAAAGCGAAAGCAUUUACCAAGGAUGUUUCAUUAAUCAAGAACGAAAGUUAAGGGAUCGAAGACGAUUAGAUACCGUCGUAGUCUUAACUAUAAACUAUGCCGACCAGGGAUAUGAGUUGUUAAGAUUAUAUGAAAAUAUAAUCAAUUUCUUCUUAUGGACCUUGUGAGAAAUCAUAAGUUAUUAGGUUCUGGGGGGGAGUAUGGUCGCAAGGCUGAAACUUAAAGGAAUUGACGGAGG